GCUCGAGUUCCUGCCUCAGGCUGCUCCAUGUGGCUGCCCACAAAAAAGUAUGUGCAUGUAUGCCCUGUGCCCCAACCCCAUCCCCAGGACACAGGUCUUGAUUCCUCUACAUCAGCGCCACACAUGGCCACACAGGUGGGCUGUUACUCCUGCUCUAUGUUUGAACCAGGAUUUUGUAAAGUGCGUGAUACUUUGAUUGACAUUAGGAUUAAGUGCUCCUUUUAAUUUCCAAUUGAAGUUAGGCGUGGCCAUUGGACUUGAGUGGCUUUUAACACUUGAGCUAUCAGCUGCUCCACCUCCUGCCAAACUAGUUCUGCCUUGAGUUUGAUUACUAUUUAUCAACUUUCCUCCUGGCAGAUCUUAUUACUACCUUCAUAGACAACGGUAAUACCCUUCUCCUAUUUUCUCCACCUUCAACCCAAUUCACAAAAAGCAGCCAGAUUUAUGACUCCUCAAGUUUAUCUAAAUACACACAGGCCUGCUUCGAAUCCUUGUUCUUAAUGGCUCUUCACUGACUAAAAAGGUAUGUUAGGCGUUACCCCCUCACCUGAUAUCCAGUGCCCUUCUUGAUAUUUUCCUGAUGUUUUUCCUAAGAAUGUUCCCCACGUAGUAGCUGGAUUGAUUAAUGAUUCUUAAAUAAGCUUGUCUUUGUGCCUUUAUCCCUGUUCCUUUGUCCUUCUGAAACGAUCCAGCCCUUUACAUAAAAUAGUCCCAUUCUUCAAGGCCACCACAAACCCCAUUCCUUUAUGCAAUCAUUGUUAUUUGCUAAAUAGCAAUGAAAGGAAUGGGGUUAAUGAACAUUUAUGAAGCACUUAAGAUAUGCCAGGCACUGGUUCAAGCACAUCACAGACAUUACAUGUCAUUUAUUCCUAACAGAAACAACUUAUGAUUGCCUGGAUUUUACAAAUGGGGGGGGGAUGUUUUAAAAGUUAGAUUUCUUGUUCAAUAUGUUAGAAUUAUGAAGAAGUGAAGCAGGACUCAACUCCAGGCAGUCUGAGUCCAGGGCUCAUACCUUUAAACCAUCCUUCCAUGCCACUGCACCCAACUCGUAUCACUUGACUGACUCGUGGUGCUGGCUUUAUUCCAUCUCGUUCAUGUAUUACAAUGACCGUUCACGAUUUGUCUUCCCUUCCCCUACUAUGGAUAUUGCAUUCAUUACUAUUUCUUCCCUAUUCAUUUAUAUUCUAUCUCUUUUAUUUAUUAUAUUAUUAUUAUUCAUUUAUAUACUAUCUCUUCCCUAUUCAUCUAUAGCCUGCACAGUACCUGAACUUCAGAGGGGGACCUUCAACUCGUAGGAAGAGGCUGUCAGUGUAGACGUUGUGAAUGAAAGAGGGAAUCUGCUCCAUCCUCAGAGGUCUGUGCCCAAGAGCAGGGACUGGCUAAAUGUCAUUCUGAACACACCCCUCAGUCCUAGAGAAACACCUACCUGCACAGGCAGGUAGUCAGGGAGCUAACAUCCUGUAGCCAGGCAGAACUCAGAGCCAAGCUGCAGGGGGCUGCAUUUUCAAACUAGCUCUUUUUUUUUUUUUUCACCUUUGUCCAAAGGGACUGUGAAGGGAUAUUAGUAAAUGCACUCCAGAACAAGAGACAUGAUGUGGUUUGCCUCAGGAAAAAAGUGUGUGGCCUGGAGGAAGCCAGCCAAACCUCAGGCUGAGGCAGAUCUGUCUAGAAACUGGAGCAAGGAGAAUACAGAUGCAGAAAUUGGGGUGGACAGGAUGGCCUGCCAGUGGUUUUCGUUCAUACUCUAGCUUAUCAGCCAGGAUCCUGGCACCCACAAGUUGGGUGCUUUUAGGAAAGUGUAAUAAAGGGACUCUUCUCAAGAGUGUGGCAGGGUUAGGGGAGCCAUGGGGUUUGGGAACCUAAAGACAGAGAAGCUGUUGGACAGAAUCGGUGACCUUCAGUGAGGCACAUGGUCAGCCCAUGGCAACUUGGAGUGAGGUUCUCCCUGCCUCAUCAUUCUCUUUCUCGCUAAUGUUUCCCCAGUGGCUAAACCUAACCAAAGGCCGAAGGCAAGAAAGUCCACUGAUGUUAUACACAGAGAUUAACCUCUCGAGGGCAGGGCAGGUGGAGGGUGGGCCCAGAGAGUGGGCAAGAGGAGACAGUCAAGUACGAGUCAUGUUCUAGCCUCAGUGACCUGUCAACAAAUUAUAGUCUCUCAGACCAUGAUAUAUAUAGACUGAACUAUGUCCCCACUCCUGCCCAAAUGCAAAUGUUGAAACCAAUGUAACUGUUUUAGUGCGGCAAUUCAGGUGAAAUGAGAUCAUAAGGGUGGGGCUUCCACCAAUAUGAUUGGUUUCAUUUCAAAAAGAGGAAGAGACAUCUGGAUGUAUGUGUACAGAAAAAAGACCAUGUGAAGACACAGGGUAAGCUGAGCAAAUCAGGAAGAGAUGUCUCAGGAGAAACAGAGCCUGCUGACACCUGGAUCUUAGGCUUCUAGCCUCCAGAAGUGUGAGAAAACUAAUUCCUGCUAUUUAAGCCACCCAGUCAGUGGUGUUUUGUUACAUCAACCCUGUGUGACUAAUACUGAAUAAGAGGAACCCUUAGAGAUCAUUUCAUUUGACAUUUAAUUCAUAGAAGAGGAAUCUGAGCAGUAAUAAAGAAGGUGCUUUUUCCAAGACCUCAUAGUGAUUUAGGGGGAGAGUUUUGACAAGAACCCAAAAGGACAGACUCCUAGGCCAACACCUCCUGUGAUACCCAGAAACUCUGAUCCAUGGUCAUGAGUUAAACCCAAAUUGCUGAGGUAUUUUGCCAGGCUGUAUCCAGCCUAAUAUUUUAACUGAACUCAUUUCUACUUUGGAAAAAAUCAGAUGUGUUAGUCAACUUUCCAUCACUGUGACAAAAUGCCUGAGCUAAACAAUUUAAAAGGAGUAAAGGUUUAUUUUGGCUCAUAGCUUCAGAGGCUUCACUGCAUGGUCAGUUGUUUUCCCCAUUUAUGGACCUGUGGCAAGGCAAAGCAUCAUGAAGGGGGGCACAUGGUGGAGCUGCUCACCUCAUGGUGCCCAGGAAGCAAAAAGAGAAAGAGAGAGGGAAGAGAAGCUGGGGUCCCAAAAAGCUCUUCAAUGACCUAACUUCCUUCCACUAGGCUCCAUCACUUCUCAAUUGCACUGCAGGGUGGCAACCAAGUUGUUAGCACAUCAGCCUUUGGAGGACAUUCAAGAUCCAAUCCAUAGCAGAAGAUUUCACAUUAAUAUACAGAUGUAUGGAGAUUCCUUAGAAAACUUGGAAUGGAACCACCAUUUGACCCAGCCAUCCCACUCCUAAGUCUAUACCCAAAGGACUUAAAAUCAGCAUACUACAGUGACACAGCCACAUCAAUUCACAAUAGCUAAACUAUGGAAGCAAUCCAGAUGCUCUUCAAUAGAUGAAUGGAUAAAGAAACUGUGGUAUUUAUACACAAUGGAAUAUUACUCAGCAUUAAAAGAGAAUAAAAUUAUGGCAUUUUCAGGUAAAUGGAUGGGGUUGGAGAAUAUCAUGCUAAGUGAAAUUAGCCAAUCCCCAAAAACCAAAGGCUGGCCGAAU
Molecule: long non-coding RNA, 3519 nt
Filed under: Marmota monax (woodchuck)
Lineage: Eukaryota; Metazoa; Chordata; Mammalia; Rodentia; Sciuridae
Source: RNAcentral